GCAUAUGUUGUCUGUUGUCUCCUCCACGUGCUGCCUCGGUUUCCCUCCUGGGAAGAAUCCGGACCCUGCAGCUUGUUGUGGCUCCUUGACUCUUCAGGAAGGACGAAACAGAUGGAUCCUGCAAAGCUAGUGAGGAUGGAAGGAGGAAGAUGGACUGUUGACCUGGUCAGGUUGUCUCCUGCAUCCCUCCUCACAGCCUCCGAGCGUUCCCUCCCAGGGACUUCUGAGAGAUCUGACAAUUUGAUGGAUCUUGACCAGAGAGCUCUGCAUAAGGAAGUCAAGGAGGAGAAUCGUGGGGUCAUGGACCCUCUUGGUAACGCUUCCUGUUGGAUCAUAAUAUCUGUUUUGAAAUUAAGCAAGUAACUUAGUUUUUGAA
Molecule: long non-coding RNA, 376 nt
Organism: Lacerta agilis (Sand lizard)
Lineage: Eukaryota; Metazoa; Chordata; Lepidosauria; Squamata; Lacertidae
Exons: 3
Source: RefSeq, a predicted model, not a curated record